GGCCAGCCUAGGUUAUCCCUGAUAAAGUGGAGAUUAAAGAUCUGGGAGGGCCCUCAAAGGCCAUCUGGUUCAAGCUCAUCCGCUGCUGUCCGACUGCCCUAAAGCCCUUAUACUUUCGUUUUUGUUGCUUUGACUUCUGAUUCUGGGAAGAUGGUGGCUUAGAUACAGCAAAGCUCCAGACUUCUGAAAAUCCUUCAACUCUAAUCAAGGACAAAGUGCUUCAAGGGGACACAGAACCAAAUCUGGCAACAGAACAGAGCUGAGGGAUCCUCCUGCUGAACCCAACUUAAAAGGAAAUGAAGAAGGAGCAAAUGGAACAGAAGAGGACCAAGG
This is a long non-coding RNA of Gracilinanus agilis (Agile Gracile Mouse Opossum), 333 nucleotides long. RefSeq lists it as uncharacterized. The record is from RefSeq and is a predicted model, not a curated record. The transcript is spliced from 3 exons. NCBI's taxonomy places the organism in Eukaryota, Metazoa, Chordata, Mammalia, Didelphimorphia, Didelphidae.